GCAGCAUGAAGAUCCAUUCGCUCACUAUUGCUGCCGCACCGAGCAGCGUCUGUGUGUUGUCUUGUGGUGCAAUUACGUAUGCGGCAGUUGCUGACGGUGCCGAACAGCGUGCGUGCCCUUUCCCAAAGCAAGCAAAACCGUGCUGUUACUCGACAAAAUUGGUUCAACCACGGCAAUUCUUUCCCUUUCCCAAAGAGGAGGCUAUUCGUUACGAGCCUUAUUUCUCUCAUUCCACAGAAAAGCGGAACAUGGACAAGCGCCUACCUGUAGCGUCCGUUCUCUUUGGCUCCCGGUCAACGUGACCGCACCGGAAAUCGAAGCGUCGGACGGUGGCUACGAGGGCCUGUUGACCUCCACUCACCACGACGUCUAGCCAAGUGAUGUCUUCGAGCAGAACGUCAAGGCAUGCACGAUAACCCAGUUUCCAUUGAGCAUUUAUGUUAUAAUGGGCACGCGCGUUAAUCCCACGUGCACGACAGCCAGUGUAUACUAAUGGGCUAAAUUGACUAUAGCAUUCUGUUGCCAUCUGGUUCACUAACAUAUGCACUGUGCCGCGACUACUAUAGGACAGGCCUUUUAUACACGUACGCCAAGCUCCGAUGGUCGGUUGUGCACCAACUUUCUAUAAGCUUAAACGGCGCUGAACCUACGGGACCACAACUGAAUGACGGGUAACUUGGGCGCUGGCUUUCAACAGCUGUUUUGUUCACUAGGAGAAAACGCGUGUAUAUGCGAACAAGGUGACAAAGUGUGAUUGAUAACAAUCAUAUUCUCAAGCUGGGUUUCAUCGAGCAACAAAAUAAAAAGGAACAAAACACUGGCCAUAAACAGGCGUAUAUUAUAAUGCAACCUAUCGGCCGUCGCUAUUUCCACGAAAUGACGCUGUUGUAACUCUAUUAUUCGGUGGGCCACAAGCACAUGGCGUACUUGUCCUACAGACGUAAUCAAAUAAGUAUGUUCUAACAAUAUACAAUGCAAAGCUUGCGCCUGUGCAAACUAGUCGGAAAAGAGUAUGUAUAAAGUUCUUGUAGAAAGCGCAACUACAUUGCAGUAAUUGAACCAACAUAUGCGCGCGGUACAUGGUACUGUGUUCUGCGUCACAUCCUGUAAAUUCUCCUCGGGAUGUUUUUGCAUAUGCCGGGAAUUCAUGAGGGCCCGUUAAACAUGAACUUAAAGCCGUAACGACCGAUCUACGGAGAGGCCGCAACCAUAGAUUGCCACAGAUCACACUAUGUUAUUCCAUGGCUAAAUUAGACUUUCUUUCUUUUUUUUUUUUUUUUUUUUUUUGAGGAACAGGCGGCAAGGGAGCGAGAAUGAUUGCGUGGUGAGGGUACGUUUGACGUUUUUUCCCGAAGAGACAAGAAGCCACUCAUCAUGACAUGCAGGCGCUACUGCAGUCGUCGUCCCUCUUUCUUCACCGGGUCACAAACAGCAGGGUGUACUUCAGGAACGUAGCCAUCGACUUCCCUAAAACGUGGCCACUGAUGAUAGCAGCCCCACGCCAACAGUCGAUCUACUUUGCCAAUAGCGACGUUCCGCAGAGACAGCCAUGGAUCAUUUGUCAAAGAGUCAUGGAGAAUUGAAGAAGGGCGUGGUCAGCUAUACUACUGACCUCAGCUGCUCGACCUCGCAGUACCCGUCAAAACGCAGAACCUAAGCACAUCGUGAAGGGCAUACCUCUAUAUCGACCGUGCUCCUUUGCCUCCUGGUCAGCGUGUUCACUCUGGAAAGCGACGGUGGCUACGAGGACCUGUUGAUCUCCGUCCAGUGCUACAUUGAGCCAAGUGAUGUCUUCGUACAGAACCUCAAGGCGCUACUACAGUCAUCGUCGCAGCUCCUUCACCUGGAAACAAAAGGCAGUGUGUACUUCAAGCACGUGACCAUCGACUUCCCUAAGACGACGUGCGCGGCCAGUGAGAAGCAGCGGCUGACGUUUCAGAUCGCAAUACUGGACCACUUCUCCAAAGGCCAUUGAACAUUCAAGAACUCGAACGGCCGCAGUCAUCGCGGAGACUUCAUUCGUGUGUCGCCGCUACUGGACGGUCACGUAGAAUUUGCCUAAGCACAAGUGCGCCAAUGUUAUAGAACAGCGUGUCCAAAUUAUGAAAUUUGCUGUUUCACCUGAGAUGCUAUCGCGUUCUAAACGACGUUUCUGUUUGGCUAAUGCAUUGCAAGUUGCAGGUAACGCAUUGAAGCACGUGUAGUACGUCGUGCCUGUCACAGUUUAAAUUGCCCCUGAUAGUCUACUUGAAAGCCAGCGGAUGGAGCUGGUGGCGAUUUGCGUAGUUGCCAUGUGCGCACUGCGAUUUCCCUCAAGGAAAGUAUAUAUAUAUAUAUAAUGACGAAAAAGAGUACGACAUACGUUCAAUAAGCAAAGUAUAUUUGACUGACGUUUAGUAACAUGUACAUGCAUUUGGGCUCCCUUAUAAGCCCGCGAUACAUCUUGAUCAAGUUGUGCUCAAUAAUAACAACAAGAAAAAUAUUAAUAUAGUGAUACCACUGGCGAUAGCAAUACCACACACGUGGCUCACAGUGCAGAAAUGUAUCGUUCGUUUACUCAAUAUUACAAUGUAAACCACUUGAAAUGAAGUACAACCUGAAUGUACUAUGCUGACGGGGCUGACGAAGCGAUGGAGGAGGCAGCGUCUGAAUCGCAAGCUGCAACUACGGGUUGCCCGUAUCACGCGAGAAGCGCAGCAGUAGGCCCAGACUAUUACCAGUAACAACUGGAGAGGAUUCUGUGAUCGUCUGUACGGUACACUAGGCACGGCUAAGACGUGGGCUGUUCUCCGAGCACUGAUAGAUCCACCGGGCAACAAAAUGCAGACACGCAAGCGCGUAGACGUUCUUACUCACUAGCUCCAGGACAAUCCCGACCGCCUCGAGCUCGAAACGUGCUUUAUCACAUCAGGCUCGAGCCCUCGAUGCAAUCCGUACCCAUACAUCAAGAAGCCGUCCACCACGCUAGACGCAAAAAUCAUAAUUCAGGAGGUCUGUGCCGUGUUGCAGGACGUCCGCAAGAACUCGGCACCGGGAGCAGACCACACCCGGUACGCGACUAUUCGGAAACCCGGGGGAAACGUAUUACAUAAUCCCCGACUGGUAAGUGACAUAGGGCUUUCUUGACAGGUCGUGGUAUUCCAAAAACUGCGCACUGCAUUCUUUCACGUGCGUCCCAAUUAAGAGCACACAUCACCCACAACAUUCAUCACCUUCCUCACAUAUCGCGAGGUUACACAGCAUUACACACGCCAGCGUCGGCUGUACCGGCCUCCACCGACGUCUUUCCCACUGGAGGAGGCGGUCGCACUUCGCCAAUUGAGACCAAUACAUUUCCCAAUCUCCACUUCCUGCACAUCCUAUACCCCACUCGCUGUUCCGACGCUUGUCCAGGAUGUGAUUUUUCCGCCACCUCCUUGCACGU
This is a long non-coding RNA of Dermacentor andersoni, 3424 nucleotides long. RefSeq lists it as uncharacterized. The record is from RefSeq and is a predicted model, not a curated record. Lineage: Eukaryota; Metazoa; Arthropoda; Arachnida; Ixodida; Ixodidae.